RNAcentral lists this ribosomal RNA (222 nucleotides) under uncultured Staphylococcus sp. Its description in RNAcentral is "partial 16S ribosomal RNA". It matches the Rfam family "Bacterial small subunit ribosomal RNA", at positions 505 to 726 of the family's 1533-position model. The record is from RNAcentral. Lineage: Bacteria; Bacillati; Bacillota; Bacilli; Caryophanales; Staphylococcaceae.
GUGCCAGCCGCCGCGGUAAUACGUAGGUGGCAAGCGUUAUCCGGAAUUAUUGGGCGUAAAGCGCGCGUAGGCGGUUUUUUAAGUCUGAUGUGAAAGCCCACGGCUCAACCGUGGAGGGUCAUUGGAAACUGGAAAACUUGAGUGCAGAAGAGGAAAGUGGAAUUCCAUGUGUAGCGGUGAAAUGCGCAGAGAUAUGGAGGAACACCAGUGGCGAAGGCGACU